RNAcentral lists this ribosomal RNA (292 nucleotides) under uncultured bacterium. RNAcentral's name for it is "partial 16S ribosomal RNA". It matches the Rfam family "Bacterial small subunit ribosomal RNA", at positions 505 to 796 of the family's 1533-position model. The record is from RNAcentral.
GUGUCAGCCGCCGCGGUAAUACGUAGGGUGCGAGCGUUGUCCGGAAUUACUGGGCGUAAAGAGCUUGUAGGCGGUCUGUCACGUCUUCUGUGAAAACUUGGGGCUCAACCUUAAGCUUGCAGGGGAUACGGGCAGACUAGAGUACUUCAGGGGAGACUGGAAUUCCUGGUGUAGCGGUGAAAUGCGCAGAUAUCAGGAGGAACACCGGUGGCGAAGGCGGGUCUCUGGGAAGUAACUGACGCUGAGAAGCGAAAGCGUGGGUAGCGAACAGGAUUAGAUACCCUCGUAGUCC